RNAcentral lists this ribosomal RNA (506 nucleotides) under uncultured bacterium. RNAcentral describes it as "partial 16S ribosomal RNA". It matches the Rfam family "Bacterial small subunit ribosomal RNA", at positions 29 to 523 of the family's 1533-position model. The record is from RNAcentral.
AGUGAACGCUGGCGGUAGGCCUAACACAUGCAAGUCGAACGGCAGCACAGAGGAGCUUGCUCCUUGGGUGGCGAGUGGCGGACGGGUGAGGAAUACAUCGGAAUCUACUCUGUCGUGGGGGAUAACGUAGGGAAACUUACGCUAAUACCGCAUACGACCUACGGGUGAAAGCAGGGGAUCUUCGGACCUUGCGCGAUUGAAUGAGCCGAUGUCGGAUUAGCUAGUUGGCGGGGUAAAGGCCCACCAAGGCGACGAUCCGUAGCUGGUCUGAGAGGAUGAUCAGCCACACGGGAACUGAGAGACGGUCCGGACUCCUACGGGGGGCAGCAGUGGGGAAUAUUGGACAAUGGGGGCAAGCCUGAUCCAGCCAUCCCGCGUGGGUGAAGAAGGCCUUCGGGUUGUAAAGCCCUUUUGUUGGGAAAGAAAUCCAGCUGGCUAAUACCCGGUUGGGAUGACGGUACCCAAAGAAUAAGCACCGGCUAACUUCGUGCCAGCAGCCGCCGCCG